AAGCAUAUAUGGAACAGUGCAAGCUGUACAAAGAAUAUAGUGAUUGACAAGAAACGCCUCAUGGAAUUCCAGCCCAGCCCUAGGAAAAGCUACUGCAGAUUAGCCUGCCUGGCAUCCGUUUGCUACCCUGGUGGAGUGUCAGUCGACUUUAGGUCCUGCGUCAUCUCUGCUAUUCCUGUGCAGAUGUCCUGGAUGCCUGACGAGCUCUCAAAUGGCACCAGGCACCUGUGUGUCGGGCAGGAAUCCUGGCCUUUGCUUUAUGAAGCAACACGUUCUUGAAGGGCUACAACAGUGUGGUAAUGGCCACAGCCAAGUAUAGCAGCAAUGAGCAAGCUGGACAAAUCUUUAAACAGGACGAUUGACGUGUUUUGGUUUGGUUUGGUUGAAAGACUGAACUAGCUUGCCAGAGGGAAUUCAGAG
Pipra filicauda (Wire-tailed manakin) is the source of this 420-nucleotide long non-coding RNA. RefSeq lists it as uncharacterized. The record is from RefSeq and is a predicted model, not a curated record. NCBI's taxonomy places the organism in Eukaryota, Metazoa, Chordata, Aves, Passeriformes, Pipridae. The transcript has 3 exons.